AAUGAACGUUGGCGGCGUGGAUUAGGCAUGCAAGUCGAGCGCUCAUAGCAAUAUGGGAGCGGCGAACGGCGUAGUAAUGCAUCGGAACGUACCCUUCGGUCGGGGAUAGCCACGGGAAACUGUGGGUAAUACCCGAUGAUAUCUGCGGAUCAAAAGGUGAGAUUCCGCCGGAGGAGCGGCUGAUGUGAUAUUAGCUUGAUGGUGGGGUAAUGGCCUACCAUGGCGAUGAUGUCUAGGGGGUGUGAGAGCAUGGCCCCCACGACCGGAACUGAGACACUGUCCGGACACCUACGGGUGGCUGCAGUCGAGAAUCUUCCGCAAUGGACGAAAGUCUGACGGAGCGACGCCGCGUGCGGGAUGAAGGCCCUUGGGUUGUAAACCGCUGUCAGAGGGGAUGAAAUCUCCGGGGGUACUCCCCCGGAGUUGACAGAGCCUCAAAGGAAGCACGGGCUAAGUACGUG
Molecule: ribosomal RNA, 461 nt
Filed under: uncultured bacterium
Lineage: Bacteria
Description: bacterial SSU rRNA
Rfam family: Bacterial small subunit ribosomal RNA
Source: RNAcentral